RNAcentral lists this ribosomal RNA (546 nucleotides) under uncultured bacterium. Its description in RNAcentral is "bacterial SSU rRNA". It matches the Rfam family "Bacterial small subunit ribosomal RNA", at positions 9 to 524 of the family's 1533-position model. The record is from RNAcentral.
GAGUUUGAUCCUGGCUCAGGACGAACGCUGGCGGCGUGCCUAAUACAUGCAAGUCGAGCGAGCUGAAUUCAAAGAUCCCUUCGGGGUGAUUUGUUGGACGCUAGCGGCGGAUGGGUGAGUAACACGUGGGCAAUCUGCCCUAAAGACUGGGAUACCACUUGGAAACAGGUGCUAAUACCGGAUAACAACAUGAAUCGCAUGAUUCAAGUUUGAAAGGCGGCGCAAGCUGUCACUUUAGGAUGAGCCCGCGGCGCAUUAGCUAGUUGGUGGGGUAAAGGCCUACCAAGGCAAUGAUGCGUAGCCGAGUUGAGAGACUGAUCGGCCACAUUGGGACUGAGACACGGCCCAAACUCCUACGGGAGGCAGCAGUAGGGAAUCUUCCACAAUGGACGCAAGUCUGAUGGAGCAACGCCGCGUGAGUGAAGAAGGUCUUCGGAUCGUAAAGCUCUGUUGUUGGUGAAGAAGGAUAGAGGCAGUAACUGGUCUUUAUUUGACGGUAAUCAACCAGAAAGUCACGGCUAACUACGUGCCAGCAGCCGCGGUAAU